Molecule: ribosomal RNA, 341 nt
Filed under: uncultured Pseudomonadota bacterium
Lineage: Bacteria; Pseudomonadati; Pseudomonadota
Description: bacterial SSU rRNA
Rfam family: Bacterial small subunit ribosomal RNA
Source: RNAcentral
AACAAACGCUGGCGGCGUGCCUAACACAUGCAAGUCGUACGAGAAAGUCCGCUUCGGUGGGCAAGUAAAGUGGCGCACGGGUGAGUAACGCGUGGAUAAUCUACCCUUUAGUCUGGAAUAACUUACCGAAAGGUGAAUUAAUACCGGAUAACAUCCCGAUUUCCCCGGAGAUCGGGAUCAAAGAAGGCCUCUGCUUGCAAGCUUUUGCUGAAGGAUGAGUCCGCGUACCAUUAGCUAGUUGGUAGGGUAAUGGCCUACCAAGGUUAUGAUGGUUAGCUGGUCUGAGAGGAUGAUCAGCCACACUGGAACUGAAACACGGUCCAGACUCCUACGGGUGGCUG